GUCCACGCCCUAAACGAUGUCUACUAGUUGUCGGGUCUUAAUUGACUUGGUAACGCAGCUAACGCGUGAAGUAGACCGCCUGGGGAGUACGGUCGCAAGAUUAAAAACUCAAAGGAAUUGACGGGGACCCGCACAAGCGGUGGAUGAUGUGGAUUAAUUCGAUGCAACGCGAAAAACCUUACCUACCCUUGACAUGGAUGGAACUCCGGAGAGAUUUGGAGGUGCCCGAAAGGGAACCAUUACACAGGUGCUGCAUGGCUGUCGU
RNAcentral lists this ribosomal RNA (265 nucleotides) under uncultured bacterium. RNAcentral's name for it is "partial 16S ribosomal RNA". It matches the Rfam family "Bacterial small subunit ribosomal RNA", at positions 793 to 1055 of the family's 1533-position model. The record is from RNAcentral.